UUUUUUUGGUUCUUGUUU
RNAcentral lists this small nuclear RNA (18 nucleotides) under Arabidopsis thaliana (thale cress). RNAcentral describes it as "snRNA_07154". Lineage: Eukaryota; Viridiplantae; Streptophyta; Magnoliopsida; Brassicales; Brassicaceae. The record is from RNAcentral.